AUGAACGCUGGCGGCGUGCUUAACACAUGCCGGUCGAACGGAAAGGCCCAAGCUUGCUUGGGUACUCGAGUGGCGAACGGGUGAGUAACACGUGGGUGAUCUGCCCUGCACUUCGGGAUAAGCCUGGGAAACUGGGUCUAAUACCGGAUAGGACCACAUUUUGGAUGGUGUGGUGGAAAGUUUUUCGGUGUGGGAUGAGCUCGCGGCCUAUCAGCUUGUUGGUGGGGUAAUGGCCUACCAAGGCGUCGACGGGUAGCCGGCCUGAGAGGGUGUACGGCCACAUUGGGACUGAGAUACGGCCCAGACUCCUACGGGAGGCAGCAGUGGGGAAUAUUGCACAAUGGGCGCAAGCCUGAUGCAGCGACGCCGCGUGGGGGAUGACGGCCUUCGGGUUGUAAACUCCUUUCGCUAGGGACGAAGCGUUUUUGUGACGGUACCUGGAGAAGAAGCACCGGCUAACUACGUG
Molecule: ribosomal RNA, 466 nt
Filed under: uncultured bacterium
Lineage: Bacteria
Description: partial 16S ribosomal RNA
Rfam family: Bacterial small subunit ribosomal RNA
Source: RNAcentral